GCGCCCGCCGGGGGACCCAAACUCUAGCGUUUUAUAGUGGCAUCUUCUGAGUGGCUAUAAGCAAAAAAAUAAAUCAAAACUUUCAACAACGGAUCUCUUGGUUCUGGCAUCGAUGAAGAACGCAGCGAAAUGCGAUAAGUAAUGUGAAUUGCAGAAUUCAGUGAAUCAUCGAAUCUUUGAACGCACAUUGCGCCCGCCAGUAUUCUGGCGGGCAUGCCUGUUCGAGCGUCAUUUCAACCCUCAAGCCCCCCCGGGGGCUCGGUGUUGGGGACCGGCCCCGCGUCCAGCGGGUCGCCGCCCCCGAAAUGCAGUGGCGACAACGCCGCAGCCUCCUCUGCGUAGUAGCACUUGAAACCUCGCACCGGAGAGCGGCGCUGCCAGCCGUAAAACCCCAACUUCUGAAAGGUUGACCUCGGAUCAGGUAGGAAUACCCGCUGAACUUAAGCAUAUCAAUAAGCGGAGGAA
Molecule: ribosomal RNA, 465 nt
Filed under: Xerocomus sp. G1055
Lineage: Eukaryota; Fungi; Basidiomycota; Agaricomycetes; Boletales; Boletaceae
Description: eukaryotic LSU rRNA
Rfam family: 5.8S ribosomal RNA (bases 78-231)
Source: RNAcentral